GCUCGUAGUUGGAUUUCGGGCGUGGAGGUUCGGUCCGCCGUUUCGGUGUGCACUGUCUUUCUGCGUCUUUCUGUCGGGGACGCGCUUCUGGCCUUAAUUGGCUGGGACGUGGAUUCGACGAGGUUACUUUGAAAAAAUUAGAGUGUUCAAAGCAAGCUAAAGCUCUGAAUACAUUAGCAUGGAAUAACGCGAGAGGACUCGGUCCUUAUUUUGUUGGUCUUCAAGGAUGGAGUAAUGAUUAAGAGGGACAGUUGGGGGCAUUCGUAUUUCAUUGCUAGAGGUGAAAUUCUUGGAUUUAUGAAAGACGAACUUCUGCGAAAGCAUUUGCCAAGGAUGUUUUCAUUGAUCAAGAACGAAAGUUGGGGGCUCGAAGAUGAUCAGAUACCAUCCUAGUCUCAACCAUAAACGAUGCCGACUAGGGAUUGGCAGGUGUUACAUCGAUGACUCUGCCAGCACCUUAUGAGAAAUCAAAGUUUUUGGGUUCCGGGGGGAGUAUGGUCGCAAGGCUGAAACUUAAAGGAAUUGACGGAAGGGCACCACCAGGAGUG
Molecule: ribosomal RNA, 548 nt
Filed under: Pycnococcus provasolii
Lineage: Eukaryota; Viridiplantae; Chlorophyta; Pseudoscourfieldiophyceae; Pseudoscourfieldiales; Pycnococcaceae
Description: SSU rRNA
Rfam family: Eukaryotic small subunit ribosomal RNA
Source: RNAcentral